RNAcentral lists this long non-coding RNA (244 nucleotides) under Elaeis guineensis (African oil palm). Its description in RNAcentral is "long non-coding RNA (EGUI_LNC071384)". Lineage: Eukaryota; Viridiplantae; Streptophyta; Magnoliopsida; Arecales; Arecaceae. The record is from RNAcentral.
UAACAUAGCCUUAUAAAGAAAUGGUCAGUCUGACCCCUGUCCGGUUGAUGGAUUAGACACCCGCGACGACCUUACUGAAGAACGGGAUGAGCCAAUUGAAGAUCUUAUCUCAAUUCCUUUGAAUGAUGGGAAUGAAGAGCAUGUGGUGAAGAUCGGCUCCAACCUGGGAGAAGAGGUACGGACACGGCUCAUCAAUUUUCUACAAAAGAAUGCGGAUGUUUUCGCUUGGGUUCCGACGGACAUG